RNAcentral lists this unclassified non-coding RNA (271 nucleotides) under Hevea brasiliensis (rubber tree). Lineage: Eukaryota; Viridiplantae; Streptophyta; Magnoliopsida; Malpighiales; Euphorbiaceae. The record is from RNAcentral.
UCCGCCGAUCACGCCGGCCGCGGUUGCCGCCGCCGUUCCGAGAAACGAGCCGCCGCCACCGCCGAACAUCCCGCCGCCGGGAUUGCCGGCCCUUGGAUCAUUCAUCCGCGGAUCGUUCAUGCGCGGGUCGCCGCNNNNNGAGCGCCUGACCGCUGUUCCAGACCGGACCGCGCUGCGUACCGUCACCGGGACGAACGCUCGGUACGGAACCGCGUCCCUGGCCGGGGCCGAGAAUCGCAUCGCGCAUCGAAUCGAGAAAUCCGCCGGAGGG